GCUACGGGUGGCAGCAGUAGGGAAUAUUGCUCAAUGGGGGAAACCCUGAAGCAGCAACGCCGCGUGGAGGAUGAAGGUUUUCGGAUUGUAAACUCCUUUUGUUAGAGAAGAUAAUUACGGUAUCUACCGCCUACUCCCCGGCUAACUCCGUGCCAGCCGCCGCGGUCAUACGGAGGGUGCAAGCGUUACUCGGAAUCACUGGGCGUAAAGAGCGCGUAGGCGGGAUAGCAAGUCAGAUGUGAAAUCCUAUGGCUUAACCAUAGAACUGCAUUUGAAACUGUUAUUCUAGAGUAUGGGAGAGGUAGGGGGAAUUCGUGGUGUAGGGGUAAAAUCCGUAGAGAUCAAGAGGAAUACUGAUUGCGAAGGCGACCUGCUAGAACAUAACUGACGCUGAUGCGCGAAAGCGUGGGGAGCAAACAGGAUUAGAUACCCUUGUAGUC
RNAcentral lists this ribosomal RNA (440 nucleotides) under uncultured bacterium. RNAcentral describes it as "partial 16S ribosomal RNA". It matches the Rfam family "Bacterial small subunit ribosomal RNA", at positions 338 to 795 of the family's 1533-position model. The record is from RNAcentral.